Molecule: ribosomal RNA, 529 nt
Filed under: uncultured bacterium
Lineage: Bacteria
Description: bacterial SSU rRNA
Rfam family: Bacterial small subunit ribosomal RNA
Source: RNAcentral
AAUAGAUACCCCGGUAGUCCACACCGUAAACGUUGGGCGCUAGGUGUGGGACUCAUUCCACGAGUUCCGUGCCGCAGCUAACGCAUUAAGCGCCCCGCCUGGGGAGUACGGCCGCAAGGCUAAAACUCAAAGGAAUUGACGGGGGCCCGCACAAGCGGCGGAGCAUGCGGAUUAAUUCGAUGCAACGCGAAGAACCUUACCUAGGUUUGACAUAUACGAGAAGCCUCUAGAGAUAGAGGUCUCUUUGGACACUUGUAUACAGGUGGUGCAUGGUUGUCGUCAGCUCGUGUCGUGAGAUGUUGGGUUAAGUCCCGCAACGAGCGCAACCCUCGUCUUAUGUUGCCAGCACGUAAUGGUGGGGACUCAUAAGAGACUGCCGGGGUCAACUCGGAGGAAGGUGGGGAUGACGUCAAGUCAUCAUGCCCCUUAUGCCUAGGGCUUCACGCAUGCUACAAUGGCUGGUACAAAGGGCUGCGAUACCGCAAGGUGGAGCGAAUCCCAAAAAGCCAGUCUCAGUUCGGAUUGGGGU